CGUGUAGGCGGUCUGGAAAGUCAUGGUUGAAAUCCCGCGGCUCAACCGCGGAACUGGCUGUGAAACUACCAGACUUGAGGAUAGCAGGGGGGUGUGGAACGAUCGGUGGAGCGGUGAAAUGCGUAGAUAUCGGUCGGAACACCGGUGGCGAAGGCGACACCCUGGGCUAUUCCUGACGCUGAGGCGCGAAAGCGUGGGGAGCAAACA
This 207-nucleotide ribosomal RNA is filed under the name uncultured bacterium. RNAcentral's name for it is "partial 16S ribosomal RNA". It matches the Rfam family "Bacterial small subunit ribosomal RNA", at positions 568 to 774 of the family's 1533-position model. The record is from RNAcentral.